Molecule: ribosomal RNA, 455 nt
Filed under: uncultured bacterium
Lineage: Bacteria
Description: bacterial SSU rRNA
Rfam family: Bacterial small subunit ribosomal RNA
Source: RNAcentral
CAGUGGGGAAUAUUGCACAAUGGGGGAAACCCUGAUGCAGCCAUGCCGCGUGUGUGAAGUAAGGGCCUUACGGGUUGUAAAGUCACUUUCAGUAGGGAGGAAGGUAGUGUAGUUAACACCUGCAUUAUUUGACGUUACCUACAGAAGAAGCACCGGCUAACUCCGUGCCAGCAGCCGCGGUAAUACGGAGGGUGCGAGCGUUAAUCGGAAUUACUGGGCGUAAAGCGCAUGCAGGCGGCCUGUUAAGUCAGAUGUGAAAGCCCCGGGGCUUAACCUCGGAAUUGCAUUUGAAACUGGCAGGCUAGAGUCUUGUAGAGGGGGUAGGAAUUUCAGGUGUAGCGGUGAAAUGCGUAGAGAUCUGAAGGAAUACCAGUGGCGAAGGCGGCCCCCCUGGACAGAUACUGACACUCAGAUGCGAAAGCGUGGGGAGCAAACAGGAUUAGAUACCCUGGUAG